Molecule: ribosomal RNA, 468 nt
Filed under: uncultured bacterium
Lineage: Bacteria
Description: partial 16S ribosomal RNA
Rfam family: Bacterial small subunit ribosomal RNA
Source: RNAcentral
GACGAACGCUGGCGGCGUGCUUAACACAUGCAAGUCGAACGGAAAGGCCCUGCUUUUGUGGGGUGCUCGAGUGGCGAACGGGUGAGUAACACGUGAGUAACCUGCCCUUGGCUUUGGGAUAACUUCAGGAAACUGGGGCUAAUACCGGAUAGGAGCUCCUGCUGCAUGGUGGGGGUUGGAAAGUUUCGGCGGUUGAGGAUGGACUCGCGGCUUAUCAGCUUGUUGGUGGGGUAGUGGCUUACCAAGGCUUUGACGGGUAGCCGGCCUGAGAGGGUGACCGGCCACAUUGGGACUGAGAUACGGCCCAGACUCCUACGGGAGGCAGCAGUGGGGAAUAUUGCACAAUGGGCGGAAGCCUGAUGCAGCAACGCCGCGUGCGGGAUGACGGCCUUCGGGUUGUAAACCGCUUUCGCCUGUGACGAAGCGUGAGUGACGGUAAUGGGUAAAGAAGCACCGGCUAACUACGUG